RNAcentral lists this ribosomal RNA (191 nucleotides) under Perkinsus chesapeaki. Its description in RNAcentral is "partial Eukaryotic small subunit ribosomal RNA". The stretch from base 35 to 191 matches the Rfam family "Eukaryotic small subunit ribosomal RNA", at positions 738 to 896 of the family's 1831-position model. Lineage: Eukaryota; Perkinsozoa; Perkinsida; Perkinsidae. The record is from RNAcentral.
GAUUCGUGCUCACGCACUUAACUGUGCGCUGACCGUGUUCCAAGACUUUUACUUUGAGGAAAUUAGAGUGUUUCAAGCAGGCUUAUGCCGUGAAUACAUUAGCAUGGAAUAAUAGGAUAUGACUUUGGUCAUAUUUUGUUGGUUUCUAGGACUGAAGUAAUGAUUAAUAGGGACAGUCGGGGGCCCUCAAA